UGAGGAAUAUUGGACAAUGGGACGCAAGCCUGAUCCAGCCAUGCCGCGUGCAGGAUGACGGUCCUAUGGAUUGUAAACUGCUUUUGUACAGGAAGAAACAGUUCUACGUGUAGAACCUUGACGGUACUGUAAGAAUAAGGAUCGGCUAACUCCGUGCCAGCAGCCGCGGUAAUACGGAGGAUCCAAGCGUUAUCCGGAAUCAUUGGGUUUAAAGGGUCCGUAGGCGGUUAGAUAAGUCAGUGGUGAAAGCCCAUCGCUCAACGGUGGAACGGCCAUUGAUACUGUCUGACUUGAAUUAUUAGGAAGUAACUAGAAUAUGUAGUGUAGCGGUGAAAUGCUUAGAGAUUACAUGGAAUACCAAUUGCGAAGGCAGGUUACUACUAAUGGAUUGACGCUGAUGGACGAAAGCGUGGGUAGCGAACAGGAUUAGAUACCCCUGUAGUCCCUGAGCGGGCUGGCAAGGCGCAU
RNAcentral lists this ribosomal RNA (468 nucleotides) under uncultured bacterium. RNAcentral's name for it is "bacterial SSU rRNA". It matches the Rfam family "Bacterial small subunit ribosomal RNA", at positions 355 to 825 of the family's 1533-position model. The record is from RNAcentral.